AUUGAACGCUGGCGGCAUGCUUUACACAUGCAAGUCGGACGGCAGCACAGAGAAGCUUGCUUCUUGGGUGGCGAGUGGCGAACGGGUGAGUAAUAUAUCGGAACGUACCGAGUAAUGGGGGAUAACUAAUCGAAAGAUUAGCUAAUACCGCAUAUUCUCUGAGGAGGAAAGCAGGGGACCUUCGGGCCUUGCGUUAUUCGAGCGGCCGAUAUCUGAUUAGCUAGUUGGUGGGGUAAAGGCCUACCAAGGCGACGAUCAGUAGCGGGUCUGAGAGGAUGAUCCGCCACACUGGGACUGAGACACGGCCCAGACUCCUACGGGAGGCAGCAGUGGGGAAUUUUGGACAAUGGGCGCAAGCCUGAUCCAGCCAUGCCGCGUGUCUGAAGAAGGCCUUCGGGUUGUAAAGGACUUUUGUCAGGGAAGAAAAGGCUGUUGCUAAUAUCGACAGCUGAUGACGGUACCUGAAGAAUAAGCACCGGCUAACUACGUGCCAGCAGCCGCGGUAAUACGUAGGGUGCGAGCGUUAAUCGGAAUUACUGGGCGUAAGCGAGCGCAGACGGUUACUUAAGCAGGAUGUGAAAUCCCCGGGCUCAACCUGGGAACUGCGUUCUGAACUGGGUGACCAGAGUGUGUCAGGGGGAGGUAGAAUUCCACGUGUAGCAGUGAAAUGCGUAGAGGUGUGGAGGAAUACCGAUGGCGAAGGCAGCCUCCUGGGAUAACACUGACGUUCAUGCUCGAAAGCGUGGGUAGCAAACAGGAUUAGAUACCCUGGUAGUCCACGCCCUAAACGAUGUCAAUUAGCUGUUGGGCAACUUGAUUGCUUAGUAGCGUAGCUAACGCGUGAAAUUGACCGCCUGGGGAGUACGGUCGCAAGAUUAAAACUCAAAGGAAUUGACGGGGACCCGCACAAGCGGUGGAUGAUGUGGAUUAAUUCGAUGCAACGCGAAGAACCUUACCUGGUCUUGACAUGUACGGAAUCCUCCAGAGACGGAGGAGUGCCUUCGGGAGCCGUAACACAGGUGCUGCAUGGCUGUCGUCAGCUCGUGUCGUGAGAUGUUGGGUUAAGUCCCGCAACGAGCGCAACCCUUGUCAUUAGUUGCCAUCAUUUAGUUGGGCACUCUAAUGAGACUGCCGGUGACAAGCCGGAGGAAGGUGGGGAUGACGUCAAGUCCUCAUGGCCCUUAUGACCAGGGCUUCACACGUCAUACAAUGGUCGGUACAGAGGGUAGCCAAGCCGCGAGGUGGAGCCAAUCUCACAAAACCGAUCGUAGUCCGGAUUGCACUCUGCAACUCGAGUGCAUGAAGUCGGAAUCGCUAGUAAUCGCAGGUCAGCAUACUGCGGUGAAUACGUUCCCGGGUCU
RNAcentral lists this ribosomal RNA (1361 nucleotides) under uncultured bacterium. RNAcentral's name for it is "bacterial SSU rRNA". It matches the Rfam family "Bacterial small subunit ribosomal RNA", at positions 28 to 1381 of the family's 1533-position model. The record is from RNAcentral.